This 600-nucleotide ribosomal RNA is filed under the name uncultured bacterium. Its description in RNAcentral is "bacterial SSU rRNA". It matches the Rfam family "Bacterial small subunit ribosomal RNA", at positions 731 to 1331 of the family's 1533-position model. The record is from RNAcentral.
ACCACGCGACUGACGCUCAUGCACGAAAGCGUGGGUAUCGAACAGGAUUAGAUACCCUGGUAGUCCACGCGGUAAACGAUGAUAACUAGUUAUUCGGCGCGAUUGAGUGCUGAGUGACCGAGCGAAAGCGUUAAGUUAUCCACCUGGGGAGUACGCCGGCAACGGUGAAACUCAAAGGAAUUGACGGGGGCCCGCACAAGCGGAGGAACAUGUGGUUUAAUUCGAUGAUACGCGAGGAACCUUACCCGGGCUCAAACGCAUGGCGCUACACCCUGAAAGGGGUGGUUCUUCGGACGUCAUGCGAGGUGCUGCAUGGUUGUCGUCAGCUCGUGCCGUGAGGUGUCGGCUUAAGUGCCAUAACGAGCGCAACCCCCAUCUUCAGUUGCCCCCGGGUUAAGCCGGGCACUCUGGAGAGACUGCCGGCGCAAGCUGUGAGGAAGGCGGGGAUGACGUCAAAUCAGCACGGCCCUUACGUCCGGGGCGACACACGUGUGGACGGGCGGUGUGUACAGAGGGAAGGAACGUAUUGACGGCGAGAUGAUCCCGAAAACCCGUCUCAGUUCGGAUCGGAGUCUGCAACCCGACUCCGUGAAGCAGGAU